AUGCAUGUCUAAGUAUAAAUGGUAUACAGUAAAACUGCGAAUGGCUCAUUAAAACAGUUAUAGUUUAUUUGGUAAUCGAAUUUACAUGGAUAACCGUGGUAAUUCUAGAGCUAAUACAUGCUGUAAAGCCCGACUUCUCGGAAGGGCCGUAUUUAUUAGAUAACAGACCAGCAGCUUCGGCUAUUGUGGUGAAUCAUAGUAACUAAUCGGAUCGCAUGGGCUAGUCCCGCGACAAACCAUUCAAGUUUCUGCCCCAUCAGCUUUCGAUGGUAGUGUAUUGGACUACCAUGGCUUUUACGGGUAACGGAGGAUUAGGUUCGAUUCCGGAGAGGGAGCCUGAGAAACGGCUACCACAUCUAAGAAGGCAGCAGCGCGUAAAUUACCCAAUUCUGAUUCAGAGAGGUAGUGACAAGAAAUAACGGGUCGGGACUUUGUCCCGGGACUGCAAUGAGAUGAACUUAUACCCCUUUUCGAGUAACCAUUGGAGGGCAAGUCUGGUGCCAGCAGCCGCGGUAAUUCCAGCUCCAAUAGCGUAUAUUAAAGUUGUUGCAGUUAAAAAGCUCGUAGUUGGAUUUCUGGCAGGAUGACUUUGCCCUCUGUAGAGUGCGCAAUGCUGUCCUACCAUCCUUCUGUUAACCCUUUCGACCUUUAAAAGUUGGCUGGGGGCUCAGAUAUUUUACCUUGAGGAAAAUUAGAGUGUUUCAGGCAGGCUAGCGCCGGAAUACAUUAGCAUGGAAUAAUAGAAUAGGACUUUUGCCUCUUCUGUUGGUCUGAGGGGUGUAAGUAAUGAUUAAUAGGGAUAGUUGGGGGCAUUAGUACUUAACUGUCAAANGUGAAAUUCUCGGAUUUGUUAAAGACUAACUUAUGCGAAAGCAU
RNAcentral lists this ribosomal RNA (876 nucleotides) under uncultured alveolate. RNAcentral describes it as "SSU rRNA". It matches the Rfam family "Eukaryotic small subunit ribosomal RNA", at positions 51 to 954 of the family's 1831-position model. The record is from RNAcentral.